Molecule: ribosomal RNA, 600 nt
Filed under: uncultured bacterium
Lineage: Bacteria
Description: bacterial SSU rRNA
Rfam family: Bacterial small subunit ribosomal RNA
Source: RNAcentral
CAGCCUACAAGUCCUUUACUGACGCUAAAAGCUCGAAGGUGCGGGUAUCGAACAGGAUUAGAUACCCUGGUAGUCCGCACGGUAAACGAUGGAUGCCCGCUGUUUGCGAUAUAGUGUGAGCGGCCAAGCGAAAGCGUUAAGCAUCCCCACCUGGGGAGUACGCCGGCAACGGUGAAACUCAAAGGAAUUGACGGGGGCCCGCACAAGCGGAGGAACAUGUGGUUUAAUUCGAUGAUACGCGAGGAACCUUACCCGGGCUUGAACUGCAGCAGAACGAUUGAGAGAUCAUGAGGUCCUUCGGGACUGCUGUGGAGGUGCUGCAUGGUUGUCGUCAGCUCGUGCCGUGAGGUGUCGGCUUAAGUGCCAUAACGAGCGCAACCCCUCUCUUCAGUUGCCAUCAGGUAGAGCUGGGCACUCUGGAGACACUGCCACCGUAAGGUGUGAGGAAGGUGGGGAUGACGUCAAAUCAGCACGGCCUUGACGGGCGGGGCGACACACGUGUGACAAUGGGUGGUACAGAGCGUCGGCGACCUGCAAAGUCCGUCCAAUCGCAAAAUCCAUCCUCAGUUCGGACUGGGGUCUGCAACCCGACCCCACGAA